CUCCCAGAGGAAAUCACUUUCCCGUCCUCCACAAUCACACACCUAACAUGCGCGAGGGAAUUAAUUAACAAGGAUGCAACCAUGCGAUUAGCAAAAUAUGAAUCAGUGACCGACUAUCGCGAAUGAGCGAGAACCUACCCAACAGGGACCUCGAGGUUAUCCAGCGCAAACUUAGCCUACAAAAAACAACCAGCCGAAGGUAGAAUUAUACACGCUACAGCUGCAAAGCGAGCACGAUUAACAGCCGUACCUGCUCGAGUGCUAGCUCCAUAAAAGCCGGUGCCAUCCUGCGGGCCUGGGAGCGAGGAAUCAAAUUUCUACUGUAAGCGAACGCGGGGAAGUGGCCGCACGGUCUGGCUGGCCGCUGGCGCCAGGGUGCUGGAGCAGCAGAGUUGGACGAUGCUCGGCAGCUUGGGGAAACGCACGGCCGUGAUGCGUCGACCGUCGAGGUAGGGGCGUCAGGCGGCGGCGGCGGCUGUCGCUCUCGCUCAGGCGUUGCAGGAGAGCGUCUCCGCGGCGGCGCUAGACAGGGGAGCGGGAGGCCUGGGAGUCGGCCUAUACCCUUUGGGCCUGCUUUUGGCUUGAGUGGGUUGGCUCGGGAAUAAUUCUCUCUUUUUUCAUAAAGCAUGCAAGUAAAACAAUGCAGACUUCCUCUAUAUCCAGCAGGCUGAGAAAAAGGAUGAGGGAAUUCACUAGUUGGCCUGAAAAAAUAGUAUGUAUUUCAGGAACAGGACUGACCAUUCGGGUGAACGGCGGCUAGCGAGCGGAAAGGGUGAACGGCGGUCUCGUGGAAGCGCGAAUCGGGUGAACGGCGGCUAGGGAGCGGAAAGGGUGAACGGCGGUCUCGUGGAAGCGCGAAUCGGGUGAACGGCGGCCAGGCUGCCGGCGACACCAGGGUGAGAAGCGGGCGACUGCGCCUAUGCAAGGCCAAAGUGUUAAUCUAGUCUCUGUUAAUAGGCUGGGUCUAAGUAUGGGGUAUGGCUAGGCGUGGUAAUGAAUUGUGAUUUAAAUGCUUCCUCACAAAAUGAUAGAACCUUAAAUAAAUUUUAGUUCAAAAAUGAAUAGAAAUAUGGUCUAAUUCUAAUCUAAUCCGAUUAUUAAAUCUUGUAGUGUAAAAUUUAGAGCUUAUUGACACCCGUAGGAUGGCAUGGGCCAUAUCUGUCCAUACGGGCCUUCCGCCCCCGUAUGCAUCCUGUGGUAAUCGGAAAGAUGCUGCUGAGAUGAGUGUACUGAUGCAAGGGACUGCUACCCUUUGUAAAGAUAGUGGGUGUAGCUGGUUAAGGGGACAAUAUCAUGCUUUUUUUUAGAAAGGGAAGCAUUUUUUGUCA
This is a non-coding RNA of Zea mays, 1328 nucleotides long. The record is from RefSeq and is a predicted model, not a curated record. NCBI's taxonomy places the organism in Eukaryota, Viridiplantae, Streptophyta, Magnoliopsida, Poales, Poaceae.